RNAcentral lists this long non-coding RNA (2546 nucleotides) under Olea europaea subsp. europaea. The record is from RNAcentral. Lineage: Eukaryota; Viridiplantae; Streptophyta; Magnoliopsida; Lamiales; Oleaceae.
UCCUAUGUUUGAAUAUCGGUCAUAAAUUAAUUGCAGAAAUAUAAAUAUACACAAUUAUUUGAUGACGGAGAAAUCUCAAUGUGGGUAAAACUCUGGGCCCAAACCAGUAGGAAUCCACUAUAAACGUAAAUGAAAUUUACAAUCAGCCAGACUCAACCUAAACUGGUUUUUCUGACAUCCUGACCAUAGUUUCCUCAAGCCAUUCCUGGAAUGUGUGAUCCUGCACCAACUCCCGGCACCUAGCCCUCCUGGAUUGCGUGCUACACCAAUUCCCAAGUCUUGAUUUUGUCUAUCUCCUGUUGAUUCAAGAGAAACGUCUGUUCUCUAAUAAUCGAGACUCCGAUCUCAUUCCUCGAUCUCCAAGAAUCAACAAAGGCACUGGAAGAUUGUGUUGUGGUGUUUGACUAAUGUUGAUUUGAUCUUUUUCAUGUAAUUGAUCAAAUCAAAUAUAGGGUUGAAUGAGAAAGUUAAAUUGUAGGAGAGUUUUCUUCAAUUUCAAUACCUUGAAAGCACAUUUCGAAUUCGGCGCAGUUUUUCUCCUGUAUAUGUCUUUUUGGUAUUUCUGGUCGGGUUAAAGUAUCGAAAAAAGGAAAAUAGGGUUUUAUGGGUAACACUGUCGUUCGAGCGACAAGCUAGCGACGUUGUUUCAUUCGAGCAAAGUGGGGGCGAGAAGCGAGCCACGACCAUUCUGUUUUUGUCGCUCGAACGACCACUUGGCGAGCAGCUAGCGAAACUUCGAUAGACACAUCUUGCCCUACUUCAUAGGUCAAACCCUAGCACACUUGGCCAAAAUUUCAACUGAGUCCCUCAUGUUUUACACAGGUGCACAAUGACUCCUAUCUUUUAAUAAUUGACAAAUUGACUCCAAACUUUUGAGCAUUUACACUUUUACCCUUUUGUUCACAGAAUAGCCAGCACAAAAUCUAACAAAUUCCCCCUUUGGCAUUCUGUGACAAAAGCAAAUUACAGCAGCAAUGACAAUCUAAUACAUAGACUCAACUCACUAUUGCCUUGUCAUCUUUUAACCUGUUUCCUGAAAUCACAACUCACAUACCUAGUGUAAAAGCACGAGAAACAGUAACAUAAGUACAUAAAAGGUAAAGAAUCAUGAAUAGCCAUAACAAUGUACUAAUAUACUAGAUUAAGAGAUAAUAUUAAUAUCAAUGUAAGUCAAACAACCAAAAACAUACAUCAAUAGUGCAAAGCAUCAAUACAUAAUCCAGCCAAAAAUAUCAAUAAAUCCCAAAAAUUAACCCCACUCCUCCUUUUUAUCACAAAUGGCAAGGGAAACUCCAAGCAACUAAGCAGGACCAUCAUCUCCAACAUCCCCGUCCUCAGAAUCCUGGGCGUCAGACUCAUAAUCCCAGUGCUCACGCAUCCACCGAAUACCACGCUGAACAAGAGUAAUAGCCCCUCGUAAUGUAGCAAACUCCACAGUAUGAUGCUCGGAAGCAACUCGUAACUGAGUAAUGUCAGCCAUCAUGUGGGCUUGCUGCUCAAUGAGAAUCGACAUCUGACCUAUAAGUGCGAUAGUGGGGUCAACAUGAACAGUAGCCGGAGUAAGCUGGUCGGGUGGCGGAAUAGAAGUGGAAGAAGAGGGAAUAUCUGAAGUGGACGGAUGAACCUCGGAAGGAGGCGAAGGAAUAGCUGAGAGAUCAGCAAGUAAAUCACCCAAAGGAUCAGCAGGCACUGUCGGGUCGACGGGCUUAGCAGGAGCAGAGGCAGAGGCAGAGGCAGAGGCAAAAGAGGUGACAUGUGACCUACUUUGAAAGAUGGUAGUGUGCCCUAUGGGACGAAGCACUCGUCGUGAGACCCCAUCGGGAAAGGAAGCCCCAAGUGAUGUCACCAAGCGGUGGAUCAAGCAAGCAUACGGCAGACCAAUUCGAUGACCGGAAGUGCGAAAGGUACGUAGAAUGUGUUGGCAAAUGAAGGUAGGUAGGUCAAUUGAAUCUCCAUGAGUAAAGCAAAAAGAAACCUCACCUUGUCCAUAGGUAGGGAAGAAGUGUGGGAGACGGAUCACAGAUUUGUACACCCAAUGUGCAACAAAAUCUGUCUAUCGGUCGGGAGCGAACCAGUGCGAAUCGCCUCAGGCCCACCUCCCAAAGGGCUAUUAAACAAGGUGGAUCGAACUAGAGAAUUGGUCGGAAUAGAAUCAACCAAGAGAUACGAGUAAACGGGGUGAAUGACACGGGGAACAUAUAUGGAACAGGAAAUAACAUCAGGGGAAAUCCUAAGGGUUUGACCCCGGAGGAACACCCGGAAGGACGAACCACUAAUGUCAUGUAUGUUCGCAUAGAACUCCUAAACAAGAAGACUAGGCGGGGGAUCUAACCCAAUCAGCAAGGAUUCCCAACCUCGAGAAGUAAAGAUAGCUGCCACAUCAGGUGAUAGGUCGGAUAGAGUAACCUCACGCUCUACUAGGACAUGACGAUGGGAAAACUGGCUCCCAAAGACUUAUUGAGCAAUAGAGGAAAUGAAUCGAGAACGACUAAACGAACCCGAUCCACUACCGGGCUGAGCUGUGGUCCUAGCCCUCUUGGGUGCCA